GAAACUGUAGCCGCUCACUCCGGGCCCCCCGCGGGAUCCCAGCCCACUGCCAUGUCGUCCGCGCCCAUGUACACUGGAAGAGCACAUGGUCCACUGACUCCUCAGCUCCGCACGUCCCGCACUCAGCUGGGACCCCCCAACCUCGCCUGCUCAGCUCUGCUCUCGUAGGAAGUCGGCUCCAGAACACCUUCCAUAGAAAGAGAGCAACCCUCGGAUGAAGUCCGGACCUCCAAAUCCAGGUGCAGUCCGGCCCCGGCUCAUGCCCU
RNAcentral lists this long non-coding RNA (266 nucleotides) under Phoenix dactylifera (date palm). RNAcentral's name for it is "long non-coding RNA (PDAC_LNC020501)". Lineage: Eukaryota; Viridiplantae; Streptophyta; Magnoliopsida; Arecales; Arecaceae. The record is from RNAcentral.